RNAcentral lists this transfer RNA (77 nucleotides) under Desulfovibrio sp. Its description in RNAcentral is "tRNA-Arg". It matches the Rfam family "tRNA". From Rfam's summary of the family: Transfer RNA (tRNA) molecules are approximately 80 nucleotides in length. Their secondary structure includes four short double-helical elements and three loops (D, anti-codon, and T loops). Further hydrogen bonds mediate the characteristic L-shaped molecular structure. tRNAs have two regions of fundamental functional importance: the anti-codon, which is responsible for specific mRNA codon recognition, and the 3' end, to which the tRNAs corresponding amino acid is attached (by aminoacyl-tRNA synthetases). tRNAs cope with the degeneracy of the genetic code in two manners: having more than one tRNA (with a specific anti-codon) for a particular amino acid; and 'wobble' base-pairing, i.e. permitting non-standard base-pairing at the 3rd anti-codon position. Lineage: Bacteria; Pseudomonadati; Thermodesulfobacteriota; Desulfovibrionia; Desulfovibrionales; Desulfovibrionaceae. The record is from RNAcentral.
GCGCUCGUAGCUCAGCUGGAUAGAGCGUUGGCCUCCGGAGCCAAAGGCCCCGUGUUCGAAUCACGGCGGGCGCGCCA